CCUACGGGGGGCUGCAGUGGGGAAUUUUACGCAAUGGGGGAAACCCUGACGUAGCGACACCGCGUGAGCGAAGAAGCCCUUUGGGGUGUAAAGCUCUGUCAACAGGAACGAAACAAAUGACGGUCCCUGUGGAGGAAGCAUCGGCUAACUACGUGCCAGCAGCCGCGGUAAGACGUAGGAUGCAAGCGUUGUCCGGAUUUAUUGGGCGUAAAGAGUUCGUAGGCGGUUUGUUAAGUCUGAUGUUAAAGACCGGGGCUCAACCGCGGAAAUGCAUUGGAUACUGGCAGACUGGAGUGCAGUAGAGGCUAGUGGAAUUCCCAGUGUAGCGGUGAAAUGCGUAGAUAUUGGGAAGAACACCGGUGGCGUAGGCGACUAGCUGGGCUGUAACUGACGCUGAGGAACGAAAGCCAGGGGAGCGAAUGGGAUUAGAUACCCUGGUAGUC
Molecule: ribosomal RNA, 443 nt
Filed under: uncultured bacterium
Lineage: Bacteria
Description: partial 16S ribosomal RNA
Rfam family: Bacterial small subunit ribosomal RNA
Source: RNAcentral